Molecule: ribosomal RNA, 132 nt
Filed under: uncultured archaeon
Lineage: Archaea
Description: partial 16S ribosomal RNA
Source: RNAcentral
CCCUACGGGGUGCACCAGGCGCGAAAACUUUACAAUGCUGGCAAAACCGAUAAGGGAACCUCGAAUUGCAGGUCACAAAUCUGGUUCUCGAGAUGCGUAGAAACCAGGUGGAGCGAAGGGCCGGGCAUACGG